Molecule: unclassified non-coding RNA, 370 nt
Filed under: fungal sp.
Lineage: Eukaryota; Fungi
Description: partial internal transcribed spacer region
Rfam family: Eukaryotic small subunit ribosomal RNA (bases 1-46)
Source: RNAcentral
AAGUCGUAACAAGGUUUCCGUAGGUGAACCUGCGGAAGGAUCAUUAACACGUAUCCAACGUUAAAACAACCGUGAACUUUCAGCUUGCUCCUGUAGCCCGUGAAAACAGCAAUCCCUGGUAAAUCAUUGUUGUGAUAUUUUAUAGCUACGGUUGAGCGAUUGCAUCUAGUGAUGUUCGGUUUUUGGUGCCGUGCGAAUUUCACGCGCGGCCAAUUCGUACUGUGUUGUCGUAAAGGGGCAGAGCCCGGUGACCCGGUCGCCGGCCGUGGGCCUACAGCGAUCGUGACUGCGCCAUCAUCCUUACAUAAUCAAUGACACUUUCAGACACUGAUUACUUGGGUAUGCCAGGUCAAUGGAUAUCUUGGUUCUC